AGUGGCCUUUUAACCACACAAACACUGAGGAGGAUGUUGUCAAGGGAAGCUGGCGGUUUGCGAGUUAAUAGUCAUGAGUUGGGGUAAUUACUUAAGGUUUAUUAUGCUCUGCUUUCAAAGGAAAUGGACUCUUCAAUGGGCCGAGGAAUACUUCUUAAUUCUGGCUAAUUAGGAGCCGGCAAAGCAGAGACAACUGCUGCUGCCGCUGCUGCUGCUGCUGCUGCUGCCAUCCAACUCCGUUACAUUCAUGCGGAGGGGAUCAGUUCCCGGCUCAGCCAUGACUGAAUGGACUUGUGGCCAUCAGCUCCUCUUUUCAUGAAGCUUGAUAAACGACGGGUCCUUGAAAGAGCACACACCUGUUACUGGGAGUCAAUCAAGAUGUUACACCGCUUCUACCUGCCAGCUGACUGAUAAAAGUAUAUCUGAAAGAGUCUUCCACAAAGAAACUCUGUCACCUUAAAGGGUCCUCUGAGGAUGAAAACCCCUUUAUACAUUUCUGUAAGGUCUGUUUCUAAGCAUGUGAUCUGGCUGUUAACCAAGGCGUUAGCUCGCUACCUGACCCUCUCUGUGAGCUGGCGUUGAUGCUAAAGCAGACAUUAGCCUCCUCCCUCUGGCUUGGAUUCAGCUGGCACGCCUGGACCUCAUUGAUGGUGCUGCCAGGCGGACUCCAUCACAGUUGGUGGUUUUGAUCAAUAUCAACGUUAACAACCACCAGACAGCUUGUUGGAGAACAAACAAAACUAUAAAUAAUGCAUCAACACGUUUCUGACGUCCGGGACGAGAUGGUUAUUGGUGGAGAGGUCAAAGAGAGACACAUUUAUUUCACCUCAGAGAUAAGAGUGUGUCACUUCAACGUGUAAGUAACAUGUACUACUCUUUUGUGUAAAAUAGUAUCACUUUACUUAAUGCAACUUCAUGUAAUUGUCUCUCCAAGGAAACUUCACCUGUUAGUAGCUGUUAAAAACACAAAGAACCAGCUUAAAUAUUAGGCAGGUUGUUAGCCAAGCUAAGCCUAGACCCUGGAAACUGGAGGAAACAUACAGCUACACUCUGUCUUCAUUAUGGAGUGCUAUCUAAAACCUCUUAAGCUGCUUUAUUAACAUGUUUUGGCAAUAACUGUUAGCUGCUAAAUGUUGGCAAGUGUUUUCUCAUGGUGAA
Long non-coding RNA from Notolabrus celidotus (New Zealand spotty), 1158 nucleotides. RefSeq lists it as uncharacterized. NCBI's taxonomy places the organism in Eukaryota, Metazoa, Chordata, Actinopteri, Labriformes, Labridae. The transcript has 3 exons. The record is from RefSeq and is a predicted model, not a curated record.